GGGGAUGACGGGCUUCGACAUUUUUUAUGUCAUUUGUCUUGCAAGUCGAGUAACUCUGUAAUCUCGUUAAUCUUCGGAGACCAAAUAUAACUGCCAACUAUAGCAGAAUACCGGUGAGGGCUUUGGCCUUUGCCUAACCGAGUUUGACUCGGCGUCCAGUCAGUUGAUUCUCAAUAAAUUGGUUUGGGCGUAAAAACAUUGAGAUCGGGGGCAGUCUUGUCUGAUGAUUGUUUCCCAAAAUUUAUUCAGAUUCCUGAAAGUAAAGUUUGCUGAUUUGACUCUUUCAGCAGCAAAAAAUCAGUCCUAAACUUGUAGACGGGCUUUGAUACUAAAAAAUGGACGUGGGUUCAACUCCCACCAUCUCCACCA
Molecule: transfer-messenger RNA, 369 nt
Filed under: Candidatus Brennerbacteria bacterium RIFOXYB1_FULL_41_13
Lineage: Bacteria; Candidatus Brenneribacteriota
Also listed under: 3 other names
Rfam family: transfer-messenger RNA
About the family: Bacterial tmRNA, also known as 10Sa RNA or SsrA, is named for its dual tRNA and mRNA-like properties. Its role is to liberate the mRNA from a stalled ribosome.
Source: RNAcentral